This 86-nucleotide transfer RNA is filed under the name Deltaproteobacteria bacterium HGW-Deltaproteobacteria-12. Its description in RNAcentral is "tRNA-Arg". It matches the Rfam family "tRNA". From Rfam's summary of the family: Transfer RNA (tRNA) molecules are approximately 80 nucleotides in length. Their secondary structure includes four short double-helical elements and three loops (D, anti-codon, and T loops). Further hydrogen bonds mediate the characteristic L-shaped molecular structure. tRNAs have two regions of fundamental functional importance: the anti-codon, which is responsible for specific mRNA codon recognition, and the 3' end, to which the tRNAs corresponding amino acid is attached (by aminoacyl-tRNA synthetases). tRNAs cope with the degeneracy of the genetic code in two manners: having more than one tRNA (with a specific anti-codon) for a particular amino acid; and 'wobble' base-pairing, i.e. permitting non-standard base-pairing at the 3rd anti-codon position. The record is from RNAcentral. Lineage: Bacteria; Deltaproteobacteria.
GCGCCUGUAGCUCAGCUGGAUAGAGCAACGGACUUCUAAUCCGUGGAAUCCGUGGGCCGAGAGUUCGAAUCCCUCCAGGCGCACCA